This 473-nucleotide ribosomal RNA is filed under the name uncultured bacterium. Its description in RNAcentral is "partial 16S ribosomal RNA". It matches the Rfam family "Bacterial small subunit ribosomal RNA", at positions 28 to 507 of the family's 1533-position model. The record is from RNAcentral.
GAUGAACGCUAGCGGCAGGCCUAAUACAUGCAAGUCGAACGGGUGGUCGCAAGACCACUAGUGGCGCACGGGUGCGGAACGCGUAACCAACCUGCCCCGAUCUGGGGGAUAGCCCGCCGAAAGGCGGAUUAAUACCGCAUAUACCCGCAGCCUGGCAUCAGGCAACGGGGAAAGAUUUAUUGGAUCGGGAUGGGGUUGCGUGACAUUAGCUAGUUGGCGGGGUAAGGGCCCACCAAGGCGACGAUGUCUAGGGGACCUGAGAGGGUGAUCCCCCACACUGGCACUGAGAUACGGGCCAGACUCCUACGGGAGGCAGCAGUAGGGAAUAUUGGGCAAUGGGCGAGAGCCUGACCCAGCCAUGCCGCGUGCCGGAUGCAGGCCUUCUGGGUUGUAAACGGCUUUUCUCAGGGAAGAAAAAGACCUUGCGAGGUACACUGACGGUACCUGAGGAAUAAGCACCGGCUAACUCCGUG